This is a small nuclear RNA of Hyla sarda, 196 nucleotides long. RefSeq annotates it as U2 spliceosomal RNA. The record is from RefSeq and is a predicted model, not a curated record. NCBI's taxonomy places the organism in Eukaryota, Metazoa, Chordata, Amphibia, Anura, Hylidae. The transcript has a single exon.
GUGUCCUCUGGGGACACAAAAAUUGACUAAGAUCAAAUGCAGUGUAGGAUCUUAUCAGUUUAAUCUGAUACUUCCCCCUAUCCGGAGACCAUAUCGUACAUGGAUUUUUCAGUUCUUGGGCAGUUGCGGAAGCUUGCUUCCUUCGACCCAUGCAUUGACCCGCUAUGGUGGUAUCUUUGGGUACAGUACACCAAAC